Long non-coding RNA from Salmo salar (Atlantic salmon), 1893 nucleotides. RefSeq lists it as uncharacterized. Lineage: Eukaryota; Metazoa; Chordata; Actinopteri; Salmoniformes; Salmonidae. The record is from RefSeq and is a predicted model, not a curated record.
CCUCAUUUCAAGAUGGCUGCUACCUACAUUCCGGGUUAGCGUUGUGAAGCAUAAAUGAAAUAAAUACAAUAAAAACAUUUUUAAAAAAUCAUAAAUUAAAUAAACACGGAAUACAUUGAUACACACCGAAAGCCGGGACUCCACAGAUCAUGAGGAUAUCUUAUUUGUCUGCCUGUUACCUACCAUUAUUGAUCACCUGCCCCGAGAGUCAAACUGUUUAUUUUACACAAUGUUUUCACCAAACAGCAAAAAUCUUACAAGAGUGGAGGAUGCAGAGGAUUUUGAUGAUGACGUUCAAGAGCCACCCCUCCACAGCAAGCGCCCCGCUGGUCAAAGUCUUCACUCCCCACUGCUAUGUCAAUCAUCCCAUCUGAUGACUCUACAUCCACCACUUGACAAAGGCCCCACUACUCUUCAACCACCCCCACUGCAGUUUCAAUCACCCCGUCUGAUGGUUCUACAUCCAUCAGGGCUCCCGAGUGGCGCAGCGGUCUAAGGAACUGCAUCUCAGUGCUAGAGGCAUCACUACAGACACCCUGGUUUGAAUCCAGGCUGUAUCACAACCGGCCAUGAUUGGGAGUCCCAUAGGGCGGCGCACAAUUGUCCCAAUGUCGUCCGGGUUUGGCCGGUUAUUGUAAAUAAGAAUUAGUUGUAAAUAAAGUUUAAAUUAAAAAAAUACACCAUUCGACAAAGACCCCACUCCUCUUCAACCACCCCCACUGCAGGCCCUCUCUGCAAGUUAAUCUGGAGGUGUGGGGCAGGGAGGAGAUCUAGGCCUCAACAAAGAGGGAGAGGCAGAGGGAGUGGACAUUACUUUAAUUAUUUAAUUCUCCACAAGCAGAUGGCCAAAGCAAAAGUUCAUACCCCUCUCUCCCAGUUGGCCUUCCAAGAGCAGCUGGUGUUGGAAAUGGCUAAAAUGGGGGCCCAAAGGAACUUUACAACCAUCACAAGACCCCCCACUCAAGGUGAGAGCCACUAUCCAACACACAUGCCAAAAAACAAAAGGAGGAACUGCAUGCAUUGCACAAAACACAGGGGUGAAAAGGGUGAAAUACCACACUUUUUGUUUCUUGGCAGAGAGGUACUGCUUCAAAGACUAUCACGACAUGCACAAGCUGUGGUGAAAUCGAAUAAUCUACACCUUGGAUGUAAAAUGAACACAAAUGGCAUUUGUAAAUAGCUCAGCUUAUUUCUAUUUUUGCGCCUUUUUUAGUGAAAGACACGUGUGUAACCAAGUUUGUGUUUGAUAAGACACUUUUAUAUAUAUUUUUUAUUUAUCUCUGUUGCUUUUAUAUUGCUUUUGUAAACAGUUAAUUUGUAUGUGGGACCAAUACAUUGGAUAUGCCUAGCCUAAACAUUCAGGCACUUUGGAGAGGUUGAAAAAACACUUGUCCCCUGACACCACCACAAUGUUUGAGAGAGGUUAGUGUCGUAGAAAUGUUGUUUUAUAGUCAACAAUAACUUUUAGGCAUAUCCAGUUUACAAAAACAGUCCAAUUACCACAUUCUGACACUUUGGAGAGGUUGAAAGGACACUUGAAUGUACCCUCGAUACACCAUAACACCACCACAAUGUUUGAGUGAGGUUGAUAUGGUAGAAAUUGUGUUUUUAUACUGAACAAAUAGCAUUUUAGGGAUUGCAAAUAUGUAAUAGCACUGGAAUUAUCUAAUUUACAGACAUGCCACUUUAGAGAGGUUUAUGGACACUUGGAAACUCCUGUGACCUCACCUGACACCACUUACUAAAACAUCUUCCCAUUUAUAGUUGUUAGGUAUAUCAAUCCUGUUUUUUUCUGAUAUUCACAUGUUGUAGAAAGGCAUUUGAUGUGUUCCCAGCUCUAGUCAUCAAUAAUUCACUAAUAGCUUGUCAAUAAAAUAAGACUUUUUCUGAUCA